UGGGUUGUAGCUCAGUGACAGAGUGCUUGCCUAGCACACAAGAGGCCCUGGGUUUGAUCCUCAGCACCACAU
This 72-nucleotide transfer RNA is filed under the name Marmota monax (woodchuck). It matches the Rfam family "tRNA". Rfam says of the family: Transfer RNA (tRNA) molecules are approximately 80 nucleotides in length. Their secondary structure includes four short double-helical elements and three loops (D, anti-codon, and T loops). Further hydrogen bonds mediate the characteristic L-shaped molecular structure. tRNAs have two regions of fundamental functional importance: the anti-codon, which is responsible for specific mRNA codon recognition, and the 3' end, to which the tRNAs corresponding amino acid is attached (by aminoacyl-tRNA synthetases). tRNAs cope with the degeneracy of the genetic code in two manners: having more than one tRNA (with a specific anti-codon) for a particular amino acid; and 'wobble' base-pairing, i.e. permitting non-standard base-pairing at the 3rd anti-codon position. Lineage: Eukaryota; Metazoa; Chordata; Mammalia; Rodentia; Sciuridae. The record is from Rfam by way of RNAcentral.